Molecule: long non-coding RNA, 2754 nt
Filed under: Homo sapiens (human)
Lineage: Eukaryota; Metazoa; Chordata; Mammalia; Primates; Hominidae
Description: HSALNT0301055
Source: RNAcentral
GAGAAACACUAAGACUCAGCAGAUAAGGAUGGAGGCGACUCAACAUCACACUGAGACAGAUAUGAGCCCUGCAUUUCUGAAUGCCUUGAAAGAAAAACCAGCAAGUUGGGAGGGCCGUGUCUCCUUAUCAUCUUCCAGGAAUUCAAAACCGUGAUUUCCAGUUUCCAAAUGCAACUCAAGCUCCAUCACCCUGUACAUCUUGCACGGUUUCUCCAGCAUAUCCUGAUCGCCACCUCCAGACCCUUCUGAUAGAUUCAUUACCUGAAUCUAUUUGAUCCUGAACUCCUGCUCUCCCUUGGCUCAACCUCAUCACAGCCAGAAAGGAUGAGAGCUCUUUAAUGAAGUGCAUACAUGUCAGUUUCCCAGGACACAAACCAAAGUAAAGAAGAAUGGAGCAUGCUCCUAUAAAGGAAAAUAAAAGGAGAUCCAUAAAGCAAAUCCAACUCAUGGACACUUACUAAACAUGCACUGUGUUCAUGUAAUGGCUCCAAGAAUCUUAGUGGACAUGGACGGAAGUACACACCUGGAGUGGACCUACAGAAGCUCAGAGUCAAAUGGCAGAAAGAUGAUAUGGGCAUUGAAUACAUUAAAUGAAAAUAAAAGUAAUAAAUCACAAGAGAAGAGAGUAACUGAGGGUGUCACUGGGCAGUACAUUAGCAAUUAAUUACCAGACACCUAUGCAGUUAAAAUGUACUGCUGGCCUUCAAAGGUGAAGGAAUCCAUGGCCUGGAAUGACCAUAAAAAAUUUAUUUUAACAAAAAGACAUGACUGUAGCCUUUUAGGGUAAAGAGAUUUUAACAUUUGAAGAGCAGAGAGACAGGUACAGCAUUGCAGGCUAGGAAAUGUGGGAGUUCAAAAUGGCAGACCAGGAGGAAGGCAAGUUGUGUUUGGGAAAAUUGACUUUAUGGUUAUUAGAAAGACCAUGUAAGCAAGCAGAGAUCAAUUGUGCUAGAAAUGUUUUUCAAAUUGAGCAUCUGGUGUGUGUUAGGCACUGCUCUCGGCACUGGGGAUACAGCUGUGAACAUGAUCAACAAGGACCCUGCAAUCAUGGAGAUUAAAUUAUAGUGAGGCAAACAGAAUAUAAAUAAAUAUACACAUUAGGUGAAAGCCAGACAGCUUCGGGUCUUAUGGAGAGAGUUACUGUUGGAGCAUGUACUAGAGAAUGACUAAAUGGUAACUAUAUGGGAUGGUCGAAGAUGACCUCAAUGAGGAAUCUCUACACUUAGAUAAGACCCAAAUAGCAAGAAUGGUUCUUGUUCUGUAUUAUAAUCAAGAGGAAGAGGAUUUCAGGCAGAGGGAAAAAUGGGAUCCAUGGGCUAAAACAGGUACUUGAAUGAUGUUUUUGAGGAAAUAAAUGAAGAUCAGGGUGGCUAGAGCAUUGUGAUGAAGGUUUACACCAGGUGCUGGCUGGUUUUUAUUCCUAGUGAGAGACAAUUGUUGCAUUUUCAGGGAUUUUGUAAGGCAAUUCAUAUAACGUUGGUAGCUUAUAAUUGACUAUGGUAGGAAUAUUCAUACCUGAGAAAUCGGCAAACACUGUGAAUCAGGACUCCCUCUUUGUCCCCAACCCUCAACUCCCAUUCAGAGAGCCUGUUUUUGAGUAUUUUCUUGCAUACCACAGAGUGAGUAUAAGAAGCAGCUGGAAUAGUAACUAGGAACCAAUCAUCUUAGGCUUUAUAAGGCAGAGAAAGGAAUUUUAAUUUUAGGUGUGUUGGGAAGCCAUUAGUGGGUCUUAUGUAGGAAAUGAAUAUGGUCUGAUUUACAUAUGUAAAGGAUAAUUCUGAGUAUGUUAUGGAACACUUUGUAAAUAGGUAAAAAGAGAAAUAGGAAAAUCAGCUAUUGCAUUAGACUCAGUUAGAAGUGGCAGUGGUUUUGCUAGGGGUUAUAUAAAAGGAAGAAAACUUAAUAAUGUUAGGCCUGACUAUAGGUAGAAUCUAUAGUUUUUACUCAUGAAUUGGAUGUAAGAAUUGAGGAGAAACGAAGAACCAAGUAAAAAUUUUGAGCUUUGGCUUGGGAAACUAGGUAUAUGGUAACGCCAAAAAGAGAGAUGUAGAGAAUUGAUGUAGGAGCAAAGCUGGGCUGGGAAAUUGAGAAAAUUAUACCUGCCUUGUUAAAGUUGAAACACCCACAUGACACUCACCUGGAAGGAUAUUCACACUUGGAUUGUUGGGGAAUAAUAAGAACUAGAGAUACAGUUUGAGGGUCACUGGCAUAGAGAUAGUAAUUAAAACCAGGAUGUCAGUUAUAUCACCUAGGGAUAAUGCAAAGAGAGAGAAAAGCAGGAGAUAAGACAGAUCGAGCAGUGGGAGAAGCCGGCAUUGAAGAAUGAAGAGGAAAACCAGGCGUGUCUAGUGCCAUGAUGCCAAGAGAAAAACCCAGCUCCGAGAAGACAGGAGUUUGUUUGCUAAUGUUAUUGAGGGAUAAAGUAAAAUACGAAGAGAGAAGUAACUUGGACUGGCGGCAAAGCGAUCACCAGUGCUCCUUCUAACUGUGGUGUCGAUAAAGUAAUGUGGACUGGAUGAAGGAGCCUCGUUGGAAUAAACUCAUAUAGGAAUGAUGAUACCGUGUUUACCUACUAAUGGGAAUGACCCUAUUGAAGAGGGAACAUCACGUAUGUUGGGGAGCGGAAAAGUCAAAGUCCUCGAAAAGCAUUAAGUUCCCCUAGUUGAUUUCAAGCUGCUUGAGAACUGAGAGCUUAUUUUGUUAUUGUUCUCCAAGUCUCGGACACCAGCCCAAUUUCAGGCACACGUUAAGACU